CGUAUGCAUAUCAAUUCGAAUCAUAGGGGGUCCAGAAACUAACAGUGCAUUUUCCAUUGCGAACUGUACGACCUAAUUAGGCAUAAUUACAGAAUAAGCGUACUUUGAAAUGACGUCUUUAUAUCAUUUUUUCACCAGAGCCGGUGUUUCUCUGCAUCAAGGCGAUCAGCGUAUCGGAAUAUCCGGUUGUUAUGGCCGGACGCAUCACAGCGUUUCUUCUCAUGUGUGCCAUGUUCGCCUACGGUAUCAUGGCCAUUCCAACUAAUGAAGAUGCUACAGCACGAGGAAAUUCAGUCCCUACAAGUGCUGCCAAUGAGGAUGCAAGAAUCGGAAAACCUGCGAUCGAAAGCUUCGUUGACGGAGGACUCGGCUGAAACUCACGUGAUUUGCUACACCGAGAGAGCAGCGCUAUAAAACCGGUUUUUGUCGCGUGCUCGCUGCUUUCUUUAGCGAGUGAAAUGGAAUAAAAUGUACCAGCAUCAGGUUA
This is a non-coding RNA of Dermacentor andersoni, 487 nucleotides long. The record is from RefSeq and is a predicted model, not a curated record. NCBI's taxonomy places the organism in Eukaryota, Metazoa, Arthropoda, Arachnida, Ixodida, Ixodidae.